UUGGCAUGGUUGGGAAGAAUUUGGGAAUAGUGUGACGGGUAGUCCGUAGUUCAAUGUGUGACCGUUGUGUGUGAUUGGGAGUGAGAGAAUAGACAAUUGCACUAACUGAAAACCCAAUCGGUCCUUUUCAGGGCCACCACGCAUUUGCAGUGAUACUAAAUAAAAUUCAAUUUUUUUUAAAAUAAAUCAAAUUCAACUCCCCAUUGUUUUAUUUUACAAAAUAUAAUUUGGAGACAUAAUAAUUAGGACUAAAAAUUAUCGGACCAAAGCUAAAAAUUAAAUUUCGGAUCCAAGAAAAAAAAAUAUUUUCAGGGCAACCUCGAAUUUCUGGUGAAAUUAAAUAAAAUUCUAAUUUUAAAAAAUCAAUGAAAUUCACCUCCCCAUUGUUUUAAUUUACAAAAUAUAAUUUGGAUAUAUAAUAAUUAGGACUAAAAAACUAUCUGACCCAAGCAAAAAACUGGCGGACACUGUUCGUACAACUGUAUAAGCAUGCGUGAUGCUAUAUUCCUUUUUUUUAUAGUAGCUCCUUUUUAUACAAUAGACCUCGCAAAUAUCGGUGUUUUCUUGUCAUUUUACUUGUCUAACCAACCAGCAAUUGUACCGCGGCAUACACAGUGCGCGGUGCGGCGGGAACCAAUCAUACUGGUUAUCGCGAAGACAACUUCCCAAUCAAUCAAGCGAACUUGUAAAAAAAA
This is a long non-coding RNA of Patiria miniata (bat star), 695 nucleotides long. RefSeq lists it as uncharacterized. The transcript has 2 exons. NCBI's taxonomy places the organism in Eukaryota, Metazoa, Echinodermata, Asteroidea, Valvatida, Asterinidae. The record is from RefSeq and is a predicted model, not a curated record.